This 184-nucleotide unclassified non-coding RNA is filed under the name soil metagenome. Its description in RNAcentral is "partial internal transcribed spacer 1". The record is from RNAcentral.
CCGAGUUUACAACUCCCAAACCCAAUGUGAACGUUACCAAACUGUUGCCUCGGCGGGGUCACGCCCCGGGUGCGUAAAAGCCCCGGAACCAGGCGCCCCCGCCGGAGGAACCAACCAAACUCUUUCUGUAGUCCCCUCGCGGACGUAUUUCUUACAGCUCUGAGCAAAAAUUCAAAAUGAAUCA